GGGGCCAUCGGAAGGCUUGGGCGGGGCCAGCGGGGCGAAGCCGCUUCCUUUAUCUUUGUCAAUCUGCGCCUAAAUUCCGUCUGCUUCAGCCAUGCCCUUUUCCGCGACUUCCUCUGCUGCAGUGCCUGUGUUGCUCAGACAAGCCCUCAGGAAGGUGGGGAUGCAGUAACUAGCAACGCCUGGGUCCUAUCAGAACAGUCACCGUAACAGUCAAUGACCUUAAGGGUCACCAGGGUAACUGCCGCCUUUUAUAGACGAGUCUGGAGAGUCUGGUGGUUUGCCCGCCACACUGCAAGUGGGAGCCAGCAACAGGAGGACACUAUUUUGCCACUAAGCCAAGCUGCUAGCAAGAAAGAGCCUUGCAGCACAGGGGUUUCUGGGUGGCUCUGUCAGUAAAGCGCCCAGCUUAGGCUCAGGUCAUGAUCUCACAGCUCGUGGGUGGCUCGUGGGUUACAGCUCCGGAUCUGGCUGUGUGCUGCCAGCGUAGAGCCUCUUUGGAUCCUCUCUGUCCCUCCGAGCUCACGCCCUCGCUCAAAAAUUAAAAAAAAAAAAAAAAGUUAAAAAAAUGUUUUCAGAACCUUGCAGCACAGCUAGAAUGUAAACUGAUACCAAACAAACCAUUACUUGUCUCCACUGAUGUUUUACAAUGUUGUUUGCUGCGCCGGUUGUCAGUGUGUUAUCUCUAGCUCCGCGUUCACUCUCAUUCCAUGCACUGCAGGAUGGAGCUGGGCCCUCCGAGCGCUCUUCCCCUGCCAGGUGGGCCAUUGCAGAGGUGUGCAGGGGAAGAAACCCCCUGGGAGGCAGUGCGGGAGGAAGGGGCUUUGCUGCCCGGCUCCAGUGAGUUCCCUUGACAGCUGCAGAACGAGAGGCCUCCCCGGAGCCCACCUCCCCGCACCAAGGACGGCUUCUUCUAGCUCCAGGUUCCGCGAGCACCCGACUCCGCGGUACAGGCUGCCAGCACGCUGCUCCAGCUCCUGCCCUAUAGCCGCAAAGGCGCGCCCCUGAACAGCUUUCCUGGCACUCCGGAGGGACUGCCAGACGUCCUGCCAGCGCUUCUCCGCCAUUUGGUGAGCUGUAGCUAGGCUAUCUCCAAGCAAGUUGGACCUCAGCCCUGGGGCUACUGCUCCUGCAGCGAUUCUGACACCAGCUGUGUGACACCAGAUCCUGACACCCAGCAAUUCUGUGACAUCGGCUGGGUAUCCCACUGUAACUCACUCUGGCACUAUCCACCUGGAGACGGCAUCAGAUCCACAGGUGGAGGGCUUCAUCCUGCAAGACCCCCUACACUUCAGACGCCAACCGCGAGUCCAAAGUGGUAUCUGUGCUUCUGACCAAUUGGCUAUGAAUAUGAAUUGGGGUUCCCAUGACCCUCCCUCAGGUGCAAUUAACUUGUUAGAGCGGCUCACAGAACUCAGAGAAAGAGUUCAAAGACUGUUUACCAACUUAUUAUAAAAGGAUAUGACAAAAGCUACAGGUAAGCCUCCAGAUGAAAGAGAUGUCUGGACCAAGGUAUAGGGACGGACACACGGGGGUUCCAUGUCUCUCCAGGUCACCAAUCCACCAGCACCACCAUGUGCUCACCAACCCAGGAGCUCUUUGAACCCAGGGAAAUAAUGAGGACCCACCAAAUGAGAGCAAGAAAAGGCUAUUUGUUCAGAGCCUGCGAUAGUGAGGGAGUCACUCCAUCACCUGGCCUGGUAGAGGCCCAGAGGCAGCAAGGGAGGGGGAGAGCUUCAUGGUGGAAAAGGGGGACUCAGGGGUGCCCUGAUGGGGGCUGUGGGCCUGAGGGAGCCAGAGAUGAACUCUAGAGAAGUGGGGCAUCUCCUGUGUUCGAUUUUCUCUGGUUGGUCCUGAGUUAGACCCGGAAACAAAAAUUAGGUAAGAUGUCAGUUAUUGACCGAGUCCUGGCCAUCUGGCUUAUUUGGACUGUCAGAGGGUAUUGUAUGGCUUUCUGGGUUGUCACCAGAGCCAGCAGUCCGAAUUGCCCCAAGUCUGACUUCGAGCAGCCGGCUUCCUGGGCGGGCUUCUGCAGAGGAGGCAUUGGUUUUGGGCGGGCUGCUGCAGGCCGUGGGCCUAUUUUCACAAAUGGUCUGGCCACUGGCCACUUGUAUAUUCAGUUUCUCAUAAUAGGCACUGAUGAGCCAGUGCAGUGUUAACAGAAAACAUUUCUCCCAAGGUCACAACUCAGCUGUGAAGUGUCCUGACAGCCUCUUCCUUCUUACCAGUAACCUCCAUAGCCUGCUCUGUGGCCCCACCUCAUGAACAAAAAUACCUAAGACCCAGUUACUAAGUGGUCCACACUUUGUGACAGCAACCAUCUGAAGAUGGCCCUCACUUCCCCUCUCCCCUCCUCAGAAUUAUUCAGUGCAACCCCAAACCUUACAAAAUUCCCUCUCCAGUCUCCUCAUGAGACACAAUGGAGAAAUCUCUAGGGUUCUCUCUUUGCAACAGGUUAAUAAACCAGACCUGGUCUAUUAGGUUUAUCCCUAGUGGACUUGACUGUUGGGCAUUUUCACCCAUCUCAAGUAUCUUCUCCUCCACUCAAUCUUUGGAUGCAGUUUUUCCCUCCUCCAGCCCCAGAAUACUUUGUGUGCCCUGGUGCUACAGUUAAUUAGCUAGAGUUAAUGUUAGGACAUUUCCUCUACUAGACUGUAAGGCCCUUUAGAGACUGUGUGGGAUUCCUCUUUGUGUCCGAGUUCUAAUGAGACAAAUGAUGUGCACCUGGCCAGACAAAGAUGGACACAGUCUCCCCUGGCUAAGCUCUCGAGUGUUCAAGAAAGCCCUGAACAAGUGAAGAUUUAUCUUCAACUGACCCUCUCAAAGACAGUUUUCUAUGGACUCAUGUCUUGGCUAGAUUCCAGCUAAUUGGUGUGGGUUUUGUUUGUUUGAAGUUUAUUUAUUUUGACAAAGAGAAAGAGCGUGUGCACACACACACACGCACACACAUGCACACACAUGCACACACGGCACUUGAGCAGGGGAGAAGCAGAGAGAGAGAGGGAGAGCGAUAAUCCCAAGCAGGCUCUGCACUGUCAGUGCAGAGCCCGACUGGGGGCUCAAACUCACGAACUGGGAGAUUGUGACCUGAGCCAAAACCGAGAGUCAGAUGCUCAACAGAGAGAGCCACCCAGGUGCCCCCCCCUUUUUUUAAGUGAAUCUUUUCACUGUUCCGAAGGCUGACUUCAGUGUUUUCUUUCUUGUCCCUCUCCCCCAUCCAGGAUCUCCCUCAUGAGACUAAAGAGCACAUAACUAACGAGAGGUCUCCAAGUUGUCCUUGGACACAUGCACCUCAUACCAUGCUGUGCCCAUGACAAAUCCAGUGGGUUGAUUUACUCAGCAAAGAAAAGAAUUUCAACUCACUUCGAGUGAAUUCUCUUUGUAAUUUCAAGUUUCCAGGCCUGUAAAUGAUAAAGGACCAAACCAACUCUAGAUUGUGACAGUCCCUGUGGAGUACAGCUACCCUGCGUGGCCUCCUGUGGAAGAGACCCCGCCAGCUCCCCGUUGACAUUUCCUUGGCUGUAACUCCUUAUGUAUUCUUCCAAAGCCAAAUUGGUAAUAUUCUUUUCCAGGCAUAUAUCCCAGUUGGCUUGGAAGAAUAGUGGAGUUAUUCUUUGGAGAUGUGGAUUUGAAGAAAGUUCUUUUCGAUAGUCUGUUAAGUCGUUAAAAUGAUGCUGAGAGGUCUGUCUCCCUUUGUGCCUGUCUCAUGACCCUCCCUGUACAACUCAAGUGAGCUUUGGUUCUAUGGUAUUUAAUGUUUCGGCACCCUUUUUGUUUUAGGUGUAUUUAUUUAUUUGGCGGGGGGCAGAGAUAGAAAGAAUCCCAAGUAGGCUUAGAGCCAUCCGUGCAGAGCCCAAUAUGGGUCUCAAACUCACUAACUGGGAGGUCAUGACCUGAACCGAAGUCAGAUGCUUAACUGACUGAGCCACCCAGAAGCCACUGGCACUUUCUUAUUCUUUGGAAAACAGUUUCCAUAGAGCAUCGUCUCCUCUCUAGUGAAUUUUGUUAUGAUUUUAGAAAGAAGCUCUUCUCUUUCCGUCCUGGGGAGAGCCCACCUUUUUUGGUCACACAUAUACACCCACACCCUUACACCGUUUCUCUAUCUCGUGGCAGACUCACGGAAGGCAAACAGCACCAAACUCUUGAGCUAGAAAAACCUAGCCUUCCAGGAGAUCAUGAGCAAGCCUCCUAACCUCUUUCGAACUCCGUUCUCGCCUUGCGAGCCUGAUCCCUGAUCCCAGACCCCCGAACGUGCAGUUCGUGCCCCCGGUCCCCUCGGAGAAGGCCCUACAAUCUCCGACCAGCCGCACCCUUUCCGGCUUCAGUACCUUCCCCGGCGCGGCCCUCCCAACCCAGUCAAGCGCUCCACAAAAGCAGAAGAGAAGGAAAUACUUUUAUUUCAGCGAAAGAAUAGACCGGGACGGGCUGCGCACCACGGGCAAACCGCUCAUGGGAGGCGACGACAAAGAAAGCGCUCUCGCGCUCAGCUCAGCGGGACCGGCCCUGUGCGCCGGCCGUGCGCCCUCCCCGCGCCGGGACCCCGGAUCCCUGAGCCGUCAGGGACACCACUCGAGCGGAGAGGGCCGUGAGGCGGAAAAGGGGUGCGCACCCCGAUGGGAGCGGACCGGACGCGGGCCCCCCACUCCACGCCCCCGCGGCCCCGGACAGCCGUUACCCGACUUCCGCACGCGUCCUCCCGGUGGCCGACUUCCGGCGCGCUGCGUGACGUCAUUGCGGCCGGCUUCCGGCGCGCUGACUUGUGUUCGGCGCUGCCAUGUGUCGCUGGCGACAGGAGGCUGCCGGGGGCCCUGGGCAUCCGAGUCCAUCGCGGGUACCCGGCGGCGCUCGCGCCCUGCUAAGGCCAGAGGAGGAUCGGCCGUGGGGGCAGCGCCGCGGGGAUGGGGUCGCGGCCGGGGGCGGCGUCCCGGCGCCGGCUGACCGCGUGUCCUCCUCGCGGCGCUGCCUCGGGGAAGUGACGCCGCUCACGCCGCUGCUCCCCGGCCGACGGCGCCCGCCACCCCGCUUUCACCGGAAGCCCUUGCGGAAUCCGUCGAGUGUGCCCGGGGGUCUCGGCCCGCCGUUCCGGAGACUGAUCGCAGCUGGGGAGUACUUGCCGGGAAGACUGGCAGGAGGGCAGCUCUGGAUGCCAGACCCAGAGGGAGGAGUGGAAUCUGGAAGCGGGUUGAGGCUUUCAGCAGACUUGGGAUCUGCCUCUUCAGUCCACGUGCAGACGCUGACCACACCGGCCUCGAGGACACACUCAGUCUCAUGUUUCUGCGGUCCUGUGAGCAAGGCGUUGACUGAACUCUGGCCCAUCUUCAGAUGUUCAAAUAGCAGCCAGCUUUGGGACAUACAAGGGAGUGCCUCCCUCUGGGGCAGAGAGCAGUGUGUCAGCCACCGCAAUCCCAAGACGCAAGAGCCCUGAGAGAUGGCCUCGGUGGCUGCCAAGCCAUUCCUGGCAUCUGCAGUGCAGGCCUCCAAGUCCCUCCUCCUCCUGCCUGAAGGUGUGGCCUCACCACAGACAUGCCCUUGUGCUGCUCCCAUUCUCAAAGCAGGUUUGGAUGCCGCUGCGCUGUCUGCUUCCAAAACAAGGCUCGUCGCUGUCAUUGUGACCCCGGCCCCUCUAACAGCUCCUGUGUGGGGAGAUGGGGAUAGUUAAUAAAAUCUUUUCAGUGUGUGGUUCA
This is an RNA transcript of Acinonyx jubatus (cheetah), 5681 nucleotides long. RefSeq lists it as uncharacterized. Lineage: Eukaryota; Metazoa; Chordata; Mammalia; Carnivora; Felidae. The transcript is spliced from 8 exons. The record is from RefSeq and is a predicted model, not a curated record.